This is a non-coding RNA of Paramuricea clavata, 278 nucleotides long. The record is from the annotation of a GenBank genome assembly. Lineage: Eukaryota; Metazoa; Cnidaria; Anthozoa; Malacalcyonacea; Plexauridae.
UCUAGAAAAUGAUGCCUCCAAAACGAGAAGCUGGGUGACAUUGUCCAAUAAAACUGCUUCAUCAACUCCAAGUAAUUUGAACACCGCUUGCAUAUACUUUACGUAACCAAUCAGUUGUCGACGUUGUUGCUUUAAUAACAAAAAUGAUAAAAAAUACAUCAUAUUGAAGUUGCAUGCAAUGUUGACUCGUAUACACCCCUACAUGGCAAUUAGUGUCACAGUGAAAAUUACGCUAGAAAGUCGGCUGACGAGCUCAGAUAGGUAUAACGAGCUACGAG